AGUGAACGCUGGCGGUAGGCCAAACACAUGCAAGUCGAACGGCAGCACAGUAAGAGCUUGCUCUUACGGGUGGCGAGUGGCGGACGGGUGAGGAAUACAUCGGAAUCUACUUUUUCGUGGGGGAUAGCGUAGGGAAACUUACGCUAAUACCGCAUACGACCUACGGGUGAAAGCAGGGGAUCUUCGGACCUUGCGCGAUUGAAUGAGCCGAUGUCGGAUUAGCUAGUUGGCGGGGUAAAGGCCCACCAAGGCGACGAUCCGUAGCUGGUCUGAGAGGAUGAUCAGCCACACUGGAACUGAGACACGGUCCAGACUCCUACGGGAGGCAGCAGUGGGGAAUAUUGGACAAUGGGCGCAAGCCUGAUCCAGCCAUACCGCGUGGGUGAAGAAGGCCUUCGGGUUGUAAAGCCCUUUUGUUGGGAAAGAAAAGCAGCAGGUUAAUACCCCGCUGUUCUGACGGUACCCAAAGAAUAAGCACCGGCUAACUUCGUG
This 492-nucleotide ribosomal RNA is filed under the name uncultured bacterium. RNAcentral's name for it is "partial 16S ribosomal RNA". It matches the Rfam family "Bacterial small subunit ribosomal RNA", at positions 29 to 507 of the family's 1533-position model. The record is from RNAcentral.